This 483-nucleotide ribosomal RNA is filed under the name uncultured bacterium. RNAcentral describes it as "bacterial SSU rRNA". It matches the Rfam family "Bacterial small subunit ribosomal RNA", at positions 30 to 511 of the family's 1533-position model. The record is from RNAcentral.
AUUGAACGCUGGCGGCAGGCCUAACACAUGCAAGUCGAGCGGUAGAGAGGUGCUUGCAUCUCUUGAGAGCGGCGGACGGGUGAGUAAUGCCUAGGAAUCUGCCUAGUGGUGGGGGAUAACGUUCGGAAACGGACGCUAAUACCGCAUACGUCCUACGGGAGAAAGCGGGGGAUCUUCGGACCUCGCGCCAUUAGAUGAGCCUAGGUCGGAUUAGCUAGUUGGUGAGGUAAUGGCUCACCAAGGCGACGAUCCGUAACUGGUCUGAGAGGACGACCAGCCACACUGGGACUGAGACACGGCCCAGACUCCUACGGGAGGCAGCAGUGAGGAAUAUUGGACAAUGGGCGCAAGCCUGAUCCAGCCAUGCCGCGUGCAGGAAGACGCAUCUAUGGUGUGUAAACUGCUUUUGUACGGGAAGAAACACUCCUACGUGUAGGAGCUUGACGGUACCGUAAGAAUAAGGAUCGGCUAACUCCGUGCCAG